GCCUCGGUAGUGUAAUGGUAAGCAUGGCAGACCGGAUAUCUGUAAGUGCGGGUUCGAGUCCCGCCUGAGGUU
Dictyocaulus viviparus (bovine lungworm) is the source of this 72-nucleotide non-coding RNA. The record is from Rfam. NCBI's taxonomy places the organism in Eukaryota, Metazoa, Nematoda, Chromadorea, Rhabditida, Metastrongylidae.